RNAcentral lists this unclassified non-coding RNA (818 nucleotides) under Hevea brasiliensis (rubber tree). The record is from RNAcentral. Lineage: Eukaryota; Viridiplantae; Streptophyta; Magnoliopsida; Malpighiales; Euphorbiaceae.
GGAUUUUGAGUCAUAAUUCUAACACCAUGGCAUACUCGUAUGGUAAAUACCCCUUCAUCUUCAUCUUCAUCUUCAUUUGGUGGCUAUGGCUUGUGCAUGUCGGCCAAAGUAUUCCAACAAAGUUUAGCGGAGUUGAUUUCUCUAAUCUGAGUAAUUAUGGACGGUGAGCAGGAAAUUAGAAUAGCAUGCAAAGCAGCAGCAUUCUUUUUCCUCCAAGCCUGGAAUUCAACCUCACCCUUUUAGGGAUUAGGAGGCUCGGUGUUUGCUUCAACUACCUCUUGAGGAUUAGGAGGCUUGGUGUUUGCUUGAACUUUGUCAACUAUGUCCCAUGUAUCAUGAGCUAUUAAAUAGUUUUUAAUACAAGCACUCCAGUUUUGAUAGUUAUCUCCUGUCAAAACUAAUGAUUGGGGAACUAUACUUCUUUCCACACUUAAUUUCUCUGCUUUGCUCUGCACCAAUACAAGGGAGAGAUGAAGAAUAUAGUGAAAAAAAGAUUACUGUAUAAAUUAAAAUGGAAGAAAAAAAAUGUAAUAAAUUAAGCGAAAGCCGUAAAAUAAGCUUAAGGAUCCUGAUGGUAGCAGCAACUAAGUAAUCUCACCUUCUUUUAAUUUCCGUGCUUUUUUUUUUUAAAAAAAAAAUCUCACCAAUGGGAACACUCAAAUAAUAAACAACUUUUCUUUUUUGAGAAUAAAAAAAAUAAUAUCAUUGACCAAUCACGAUUAACAGGAACCUCUAAGAACAUAAUAUGAGAAACAGUGGAUGGCAACUCUUCCAUCCAUAUAGCUUCAGCUGAAGAAAUUCAUCACCGACUCUCUCGC